Molecule: RNA transcript, 3006 nt
Organism: Neocloeon triangulifer
Lineage: Eukaryota; Metazoa; Arthropoda; Insecta; Ephemeroptera; Baetidae
Gene name: zinc finger protein 224-like
Exons: 5
Source: RefSeq, a predicted model, not a curated record
GCCUUUGCCUUUAUGGAUAAAAUAAUGAGGGCCGAGCCCAAGGCCGAGACGCUAAAAGCGAGACGCGACGGAUCAUAAUAACAAAACUACUUUUGUGUCAUAUUUUAAAUUAUUUUUAGUUUCUUUUCUACAUAAUUUUGUGAAGACUGGUGACGAUGUUGUGAAUGUAAAAAUUGCCUCCACAGUGUUGAAAAAGAAAAUUAAUCUGCACCAAACUGGUAACACAAAGUAAUAUUAAACUUUGACAUGGACCGUCCCAGACGCAGCGGAAGAGGCGUGGAAAAAUCUUUGAAGACAGAAAAAGAUUUAAAAACAGAAUUUAUUCCUGUGAAUAAAGUAUUUCGCAUGCGUGUUAUAAAAUCGGAUAAAUUAACAAAGCCUGAUUGUGAUGGAAAUCGUGCUGGAUCCCCCGGAGAAGGAAAGAGUGUAAAACAUAUUUCGGCGAAAAUAUUUGAAAGGCCCAUGCAGAGCCAAUUGGGAGAACAAAUGACAAGACCGUAAAACUAGAAAUUAAAUCGGAAGAAAUUUUAAGUCCUCAACCAGCAACAUCAUCAAAAGAAGUCAAAACACUUCAGCGAUUCAGUGGCCCUGUUGUAUCUGUGCCCAUCAGACCAGUUCCUCGGCUUUGUCUUAAAAAUUUCACCUGUGAAAUUUGCAAAAAAGGAGUGGGCACAAAGGGUGGCUUGAAAUACCACAUCCAGGCGCAUCUUUCUGGCCGACCCUUCAAAUGUGAAAUUUGCAAAAGAUCGUACGCGACGAAAAAUGAUUUUGACACUCACAACAAAAGGCACUUAGGUAAAAAUGUUAGUUGUGAUUUUUGCAACAAGACAUUUCCCGUCAAGUCGUACUUGGCUGAUCAUAUUACUUUCACUCAUUUGCCCAAAGAAUUUGUCUGCCAAAUUUGUAAAAGACCUAUAUCCUUUCAUCGAAAAUGUCAGUUAGAAAAGCAUUUGAAUUAUAUGCAUUCAUUUGAAAAUAUGUUGAGGUGCAAACUUUGUAGCAGGACAUUCAAGUCAAAGCAACACUACGAAAAUCAUUGUAAACAGAGAGAAAUUUUGAAGUACGAAUGCAAAAAGUGUGGCAAAAAAUUUCCCUGUUUUAAAUUACUACUAAAUCACCUUCGGGAGGAAAGCAGAAACGCUGAAUGCAAAAUUUGUAAGAUGAAAGUAAAAAACCUUUACAAACACAAUCGAAGGCAUCACAUAUUUGUAAAUUGUGACCUUUGCCCUUUUAAUGGAAAGCCGCAGGAUGUGAUUUUUCACAAAGCGGGGUGUGGAACUAAAGAGCAAAUCGAGGGUCUUGGAAUAUUUUGCGAUUUGUGCAAAAUGCAUUUCCGAAGUGCAUAUGACCUAAACCUUCACAAACGACGCAUACAUGGGAAAUUCAAAUGUCCAAAGUGUCCUGAAAAGUUCUUGAACAAAUGCCUUCUCUUAAAACAUACAAAAGAUGUUCACACAAGGCCUUAUGUUUGCGUUUCUUGUCCUCGCCCAAAGUUCUUUUCAAACAGGAAUUAUUUUGAUACGCAUUUUUACCGUCAUCACAAAUUUCCCAUGAAAAAUGUUAUCCCUAAAACUGUUAAUAAGGUUCGAUUUGGAUGUGAAAGGUGUCAAAAGAUUAUUACAAAAAUUGAUACAAUGAAUGGGCUGAGAAACCACAUCAUUAGGUGCUAUAGAAUAAGGCGCAGGCAAGUUAAUUCAUGAUUUGGUUGGUGUGUAAAAUAUAUAUUUUUUUUUUAAUUAUGACUUUGUUUCUCACAUAGCUCUUGACGGUAAUUAUAACAGGAGUAAAAUAUUUGUAAUUUUUUUUUAAGCUGAUCAAAUAGCUGUCUUCGAAAACCUAACCUCCUCUAAUGCAUCUUUUCAAACUCUCUCAUUUUGAGUCUUGUAUUGUUGAUUUCUUGGGAAAACUUAAAUUGUUGAUUUUGUUAGACUUACAUUAUUUGAUUUGCAUUUUUCUCUUUAUCGAUAUCUAAUAAAUAACAAUUAGAAAGGGAUUAUAAUUUUACAUGGUGGAGAUUAUAAAGAACAAUCUACUGGCCACAUGCAACUGAUAAUAGUUAAUAGUGAUAAUUUGCAAAGAUGAAACUAAAAUUAUUCUAAAAUAUUUAUGUGGAAAAUAUCCUUUUUGUGAAUAUUGCAUAACAAAAGAAUAAAAGUUAUUUCAAGUCAGUUUUUUUUAAAUGGUAAAAUAAAUCAUUUUGUUGUCUCUAAUUUCUUUUCUUUGUCAUUUCUUGAGAAUUUAAAACCCAAAGAAACCACUCAGAAGGGGAAAUAAUUAUAUUUUAGUAACUUUUUACUAAACGUGGAAUAACGUUCCAAGACACGAGAUACUGACAAUGAGACGAAACCAGUGUAAUAAAGUUUGAAAAAUUCCUGUUGUGAUAAUAAAAAUAUAUUAAUUAGGGCGAAUUUCCCAAAAUUAACACUUUUUAAAACCACCCCAAUCUGUUGGUGUUGGUAUGUGUUUUGUGCUGGACAGCUCUUUUGGCUAUUGAAGCUUCAUCAGCAGCACUUUGCCUAGCAAAACAAGUUCCGUAGAAUGUGACAUUUACUUUGUGAAGAAAAGGAAGAAACGAGGGGGUGAUUUGCUGGUGAAGGCCGCGAGCUCUCUCUUUUUUGUCCUCUGCAGGUUGCCAAGAGGCAGCUCGUAUUUGUGCGCCAAGCAAAGCAACAUCUCCUCGCAGCUCGCUCGCUGUGGGUGGAAUAUGCUUGGCAAAGUGCUGCUGAUGAAGCUUCAAUAGCCGAAACACCUCUCCAGCACAAAACACAUACGGGCAGAUUCGGGUGGUUGUAAAAAGUCUUAAUUUUGGGAAGUUUUCGCCCUCAAUUAAUAUUUUUAUCACAACAGGAAUUUUUCAAACUUUUUUACACUGGUUUUGUCUCAGUAUCUCGCGUCGAACAUUAUAAUUCCACUUUAAAGGCGUUUAGUCAAAAGUUACUAAUUUAAUCUCCUUGUCAAGUGAAGAAUCAAUUAAUAUUAAUAAGGUUUCCAUUAAAUACAGAAAUA